GACGAACGCUGGCGGCGUGCCUAAUACAUGCAAGUAGAACGCUGAAGGAGGAGCUUGCUCUUCUGGAUGAGUUGCGAACGGGUGAGUAACGCGUAGGUAACCUGCCUGGUAGCGGGGGAUAACUAUUGGAAACGAUAGCUAAUACCGCAUAAGAGUAGAUGUUGCAUGACAUUUGCUUAAAAGGUGCAAUUGCAUCACUACCAGAUGGACCUGCGUUGUAUUAGCUAGUUGGUGAGGUAACGGCUCACCAAGGCAACGAUACAUAGCCGACCUGAGAGGGUGAUCGGCCACACUGGGACUGAGACACGGCCCAGACUCCUACGGGAGGCAGCAGUAGGGAAUCUUCGGCAAUGGACGGAAGUCUGACCGAGCAACGCCGCGUGAGUGAAGAAGGUUUUCGGAUCGUAAAGCUCUGUUGUAAGAGAAGAACGAGUGUGAGAGUGGAAAGUUCACACUGUGACGGUAUCUUACCAGAAAGGGACGGCUAACUACGUGCCAGCAGCCGCGGUAAUACGUAGGUCCCGAGCGUUGUCCGGAUUUAUUGGGCGUAAAGCGCGCGCAGGUGGUUUAAUAAGUCUGAUGUGAAAGCCCACGGCUCAACCGUGGAGGGUCAUUGGAAACUGUUAAACUUGAGUGCAGGAGAGAAAAGUGGAAUUCCUAGUGUAGCGGUGAAAUGCGUAGAGAUUAGGAGGAACACCAGUGGCGAAGGCGGCUUUUUGGCCUGUAACUGACACUGAGGCGCGAAAGCGUGGGGAGCGAAUAGG
RNAcentral lists this ribosomal RNA (764 nucleotides) under uncultured Streptococcus sp. RNAcentral's name for it is "bacterial SSU rRNA". It matches the Rfam family "Bacterial small subunit ribosomal RNA", at positions 28 to 776 of the family's 1533-position model. The record is from RNAcentral. Lineage: Bacteria; Bacillati; Bacillota; Bacilli; Lactobacillales; Streptococcaceae.